Molecule: ribosomal RNA, 520 nt
Filed under: uncultured Glomus
Lineage: Eukaryota; Fungi; Glomeromycota; Glomeromycetes; Glomerales; Glomeraceae
Description: SSU rRNA
Rfam family: Eukaryotic small subunit ribosomal RNA
Source: RNAcentral
AGCAGCCGCGGUAAUUCCAGCUCCAAUAGCGUAUAUUAAAGUUGUUGCAGUUAAAAAGCUCGUAGUUGAAUUUCGGGAUUAAUACGUUGGUCGUGCCUUUGGUACGCACUGGCGUUACUGGUUCCUACCUUCUGAAGAACCGUCAUGUCAUUAAUUUGGUGUGGCGGGGAAUCAGGACUGUUACUUUGAAAAAAUUAGAGUGUUUAAAGCAGGCUCGCGCUUGAAUACAUUAGCAUGGAAUAAUGAAAUAGGACGUUUGAUCCUAUUUUGUUGGUUUCUAGGAUUGACGUAAUGAUUAAUAGGGAUAGUUGGGGGCAUUAGUAUUCAAUUGUCAGAGGUGAAAUUCUUGGAUUUAUUGAAGACUAACUACUGCGAAAGCAUUUGCCAAGGAUGUUUUCAUUAAUCAAGAACGAAAGUUAGGGGAUCGAAGACGAUCAGAUACCGUCGUAGUCUUAACCAUAAACUAUGCCGACUAGGGAUCGGAUGAUGUUAUUUUUAAUGACUCAUUCGGCGCCUUACG